RNAcentral lists this ribosomal RNA (571 nucleotides) under uncultured bacterium. RNAcentral's name for it is "bacterial SSU rRNA". It matches the Rfam family "Bacterial small subunit ribosomal RNA", at positions 338 to 902 of the family's 1533-position model. The record is from RNAcentral.
CCUACGGGAGGCAGCAGUGGGGAAUUUUGGACAAUGGGCGCAAGCCUGAUCCAGCCAUGCCGCGUGCGGGAAGAAGGCCUUCGGGUUGUAAACCGCUUUUGGCAGGAACGAAACGGCGCGAGCGAAUAUCUCGCGUUAAUGACGGUACCUGCAGAAUAAGCACCGGCUAACUACGUGCCAGCAGCCGCGGUAAUACGUAGGGUGCAAGCGUUAAUCGGAGUUACUGGGCGUAAAGCGUACGCAGGCGGCUUUGCAAGACAGGUGUGAAAUCCCCGGGCCUAACCUGGGAACUGCAUUUGUGACUGCAUAGCUAGAGUCUGUCAGAGGGGGGUGGAAUUCCACGUGUAGCAGUGAAAUGCGUAGAGAUGUGGAAGAACACCGAUGGCGAAGGCAGCCCCCUGGGAUGAGACUGACGCUCAUGUACGAAAGCGUGGGGAGCAAACAGGAUUAGAUACCCUGGUAGUCCACGCCCUAAACGAUGUCUACUAGUUGUCGGAGGGUAACUCCUUCGGUAACGCAGCUAACGCGUGAAGUAGACCGCCUGGGGAGUACGGUCGCAAGAUUAAAACUC